UGAUGUUAAAGCACAGUGCACAGAACUCAGGCAAUGUGAUGUGUGUUUCAGUGUUUUGCCUAUGAUGAGCUGAAGACUACUAGGCUGAAGACCUGCAUUCAGCCUUCUUGGCUGAAGACCUGCAUGCUGAAGACCUAGUAGGCUGAAGAAGACCUGGAUGCUAAUGUUUCUGCAUAUGACUAUGCAGCCUCAUAUAUGAUCACAUGGAGAGAAAGUGGAGCUAAUCACAUCCUGCAAUAGCAAGAAUUGGUGAAUGGAUGAUGAGAAGGCUAUCUAGAUGCUUCAAAUAUCUAAACAAUUAUCACUUCUCUUUGGCUGAACUGCUCAAGGUCAUUACUUCCGCCUUCCAUUGACUACCAGCCAAGGAUUUUAUCAACAUCCUGAUGUGCAGAAUAAUGGCCUACUUUCCUGGAUGAAGGCAAUCAUGUGGAAGAAAAAUAUGCUGUUAAAAAAGCAGCAAAAACUUCCAGACACACAGUACUGCCAAAG
Sphaerodactylus townsendi is the source of this 489-nucleotide long non-coding RNA. RefSeq lists it as uncharacterized. The transcript has 3 exons. Lineage: Eukaryota; Metazoa; Chordata; Lepidosauria; Squamata; Sphaerodactylidae. The record is from RefSeq and is a predicted model, not a curated record.